This is a long non-coding RNA of Camelus dromedarius (Arabian camel), 3329 nucleotides long. The record is from Ensembl. NCBI's taxonomy places the organism in Eukaryota, Metazoa, Chordata, Mammalia, Artiodactyla, Camelidae.
CCCUCCUGGGAGGGGGCGGGGUAAAGCAGGUUGGGGGCUCAGAGGAAGGAGCUGGACCCAAGCCUGAGGCUCUUGGGGCUGCACCUCCUGAUACACGUGUCCCCGCAUCUCCCCAUCUCCUCACCAGCCCUGACCCACACACCUGACAUCCUCAUCCCAGAGACCCUGGAGGCCGGCCGCACCGGAAACCUGACCUGCUCUGUGCCCUGGGCCUGUGAGCGGGGCACACCCCCCAUCCUCUCCUGGAAGGGGGCCACCAUCUCUCCUCAGGUCCCCAUGACAGCCCGCUCCUCAGUGCUCACCCUCACACCAUGGCCCCAGGACCAUGGCACCAACCUCACCUGUCAGGUGACCUUGCCUGGAGCUGAAGUGACCACGACGAGGACCAUCCACCUCAAUGUGUCCUCUCCUGGGGACACAGGGCCCAUGUCUACCAAGGCCUCACCAUUGAUGCGGAUCCGCCAUGACUUUCUGUCCCAGACCCGCCACAGAACUUGACUGUGACUGUCUUCCAAGGAAACAGCACAGUAUCCAGAGCCCUGGAGAAUGGCUCAUCGCUUUCAGUCCUGGAGGGCCAGUCCCUGCUCUUGGUCUGUGUCGCUGACAGCAACCCACCUGCCAAGCUAAGCUGGGCCCGGGGGAGCCUGACCCUGAGCCCCUCACAGCCCACCAACCCGGGGGUGCUGGAGCUGCCGCAGGUACUCAUGGGAGAUGAAGGGGACUUCUCCUGCCGAGCUCAGAACCAUCUGGGCUCCCAGCACAUCUCUCUGAGCCUCUUCCUGCAGAGUGAGUGUCCAGGGGCUACACAGUGAGCUGCAACCCCACCAACGCCCUAGCCCACCAGUCCCUGACUGGUGCAGAGUCCAACUGCUGGACAGGCAGGUUGUGGGGUGGGGUGAGGCCCAGGCACGAGUGGUCCGGCAUCUGGUGAAUCAGGAAGGCCUGGAAGGCCGAUGUCCGGAGUCCUCCUGGGAGCGGAGGGACACAGGAUUGGGAUUCGGCAAGUGAAUCCAUCCUCGUGCCACUUUCCCGCAGGGCCAGCGGGGCGCAUGGUAGAGGUGAUCGUGGUGGCCAUCUGGGAGGCGGUUGUCAAGAUUCUGUUCCUCUUCCUCUGCCUCAUCGCCCUCCAAGUGAGGUCUCCCUGGAGGAAGGCAGCCAGGCCCUCAGGGGGCAUGUCAGAUGCAAACGGCAUCCCAGGUUAACCCCCCAGGUGAGUGAUGCGGGUGUGUCACCACUCAGCAUUUCACUGCACACACUCCCCCCCAGGGUGGCCCCGGGAUUGCUCUGCUUAGCAUGGCCAGAGUUGAGCUGCCAUCUUCCUCCCCAAACCCACUUUCUGGUAGGUUCCCUGUCAUGCUGAUGACAAGGCAUCCCCAUCUCUAAGGCCAGAAGGGCAGGUGGUUCUCCACUUUGACCUCCCUCCCUUCUCCCAGAUCCAACAAAUCGCUAAGUGUUAUCCGUUCUUCCCCCAAAGCGCAGCUCAUCUUGAUGUCUGUCUCCUCCCUGUCCUGACCCUGGGCAUUCCAGAAGCCUCAUCUUGGGUCUCUGAGCUCACCUACCUCCUGCCUCCAUCUCUCUCGGAAACACAGGCCUGCAGGCUGUGUUUGCAGAGCCCAUCAGUGUCCACUUCCUGCUCAGCAGGAACAGUACUGUUUUCCCUCCAUGGCCAGAGACCGAGGAACACACGCCACAGGCUGGAUUUGCAGCCCUGGUGGCUCCGCUCCUGCUGGGCUCUCCACCCAGAUCCCUUCCUCCUCCUGCGUCUCCCAACAUCUCUGCACCCAGCCUGGUCAGACCUCUGUGACUCUGAGACUUUGCCUGUGUAGUUCCUUCUCCUGAAAUGCCCUUCCCUCCCUAGCCCUGCCUCUGCAAGUCCUGAUCAUCCUUCAGGCUCAGUCUUAAGUGUCAUCCAGUUUGUGUGUGUAUGUGUGUGUGUGUGUGUGUGUGUGUAUUUCAUUGUAUGGUUCUGCGUGGAAGAGUGAUAUUUAGUUAUUUAUUCACAGACUCAUUCAGCAAAUAUUAUGGAAGACCUACUAUGUGCCAGCACAGUCAUAGGCACCAGGGGUACAUCAGUGAACACAACUCCCAAAGUCUCCACCAUCCAAAAGACUUGACUAGACACUUCCACAAAGAAGGUAAUACAGAUGGCCAGUGAGCACCCAAAACAGAAGCUCAGUCAUUGGAGAAACGCAAAUCAAGCCCAUAACGACGUACCGCUUCACGCCCACUGGGACAGCUGUUGUAUAAAAAACCCAAGAAAAUAGAAAACAGAAAAUAACAAGUGUUGGCGAAGAUGUGGACAGAUUGGAACCCUCACAUGUUGCUUGUGGGAAGGGAAAACAGGGCAGCCUUGUGGAACACGCUUUGAAUAUCCUCCAAGAGGUCAACAGAAUUACCGUAAGACCCAGCCCCUCCACUCCUCGGUGUAAACUCAAAGGAACUGAAAGCAGGGAUUCCAAAACAGAUACUUGCACACCAUUGUUCACAGCAGCAAAAUUCACAGCAGUGGUGGAACCAAUCCUAGAGUCCGUCAGCCGAAGAAUGGAUGAACCAGAUGUGGCAUACGCAUACAAUAAAAUAACAUGCACCCUUACACAGGAGUGAGUGCAAUUCUGACACGUGCUACAACACAGACGACCCUUGAAAAUGACAUAUUAAGUGAGAGAAGCCAGGCAGCACUCACUUGAGUCUGCCCGCUCUCCCCUUGAGAGUGUUCUAUCACAAUACAUCCUCACUUUACUUUCUUAAGGAAAAGAGAAGAAGUCAGACACAAAAGAACAAAUACAGUACAGUUCUGCUUAUAUGAGCGACCUACAAGGCAAAUUCUUCAAAACAGAAAGUAGAGUGGCGUUGCUUGCAGAUAGGAGACGGGGCGGGGGGUGGGAGGGGAUGGCGAGGAGUUACUGUGUAACUGAUACAGAGUCUCUGUUUGGGAUGAUGAAAACAUUCUGGAAAUAGACGGUCAUGACGGUUCCCCUGACAUUGUGAAUGUAUUCAGUGCCACUGAAUUGUACUGUAUAAGAAUGUUAAAUGGUGUUUUAUUUUAUGGCUGUUUUACUACAAUAAAACAAAGGCAAUGAGAAGCACUCUGGCAUCAAGGUGCUUUCAUUACGGGGACAAGAAUUUUGAAAGGAAAUAAGAAAAUGUGAGCGUGUCAGAGAUUGACACAUAUUUAGAGGAAAAUCACGCAAGGAAAAGGAGCAGGUGACACACUGGGGUGGGUUUUCUGUACCUGAGUGUGAGGAGGUGAUGUUUGAACAAAGACUUGGAGACAGGGAGGAAACAGGCUUUUUGAAAAAAUUUUUUUUUGUUUUGUUUUUCGGGGGGAC